RNAcentral lists this microRNA precursor (72 nucleotides) under Megaselia scalaris. RNAcentral describes it as "mir-87 microRNA precursor family". It matches the Rfam family "mir-87 microRNA precursor family". Lineage: Eukaryota; Metazoa; Arthropoda; Insecta; Diptera; Phoridae. The record is from Rfam by way of RNAcentral.
CAUUCGUGCCUGUAUUUUGCUGAGCCGUUUCCAAAAACUUCCGGUUGAGCAAAAUUUCAGGUGUGUGAGAAA